UCCCGGUUGUCCCGGGCAGUAUCGCCUGAAAAAUACAACAGACGACAAGGGUUGCGCUCGUUGCGGGACUUAACCCAACAUCUCACGACACGAGCUGACGACGGCCAUGCAGCACCUGUCACCAGGUUCCAAAAGGCACUCCACUGUUUCCAGCGGAUUCCUGGGAUGUCAAACCUCGGUAAGGUUCUUCGCGUAUCAUCGAAUUAAACCGCAUCAUCCACUGCUUGUGCGGGUCCCCGUCAAUUCCUUUGAGUUUUAAGCUUGCGCUCGUACUCCCCAGGCGGGGUGCUUAUCGCGUUAGCUUCUCAGCACAGAGGGUCGAUACUCCAUACUAAUAGCACCCAUCGUUUACGGCGUGGACUAC
RNAcentral lists this unclassified non-coding RNA (364 nucleotides) under uncultured bacterium. RNAcentral describes it as "contains 16S-23S intergenic spacer region". The record is from RNAcentral.